UCAUUUGAAACAUUUUAAAGGUCCCAUAUUAUGCAUUUUUCACUUUGUGAAGAGUUUCUUACAGUAGUAUGUGCUUCAGUAGCCUCAUUAUGAGAUUCAAAUUUGAAAACUGUCUGUUUGCUCCCUGUCUUGCCACACCUCAUUUUG
Salarias fasciatus (jewelled blenny) is the source of this 147-nucleotide long non-coding RNA. RefSeq lists it as uncharacterized. The transcript is spliced from 3 exons. The record is from RefSeq and is a predicted model, not a curated record. NCBI's taxonomy places the organism in Eukaryota, Metazoa, Chordata, Actinopteri, Blenniiformes, Blenniidae.